AGCAGCUUCACUCCUGAUAACCCAGUUGUGAGCUGUCCUUUGCAGAGCCUGCCCAGGGUAAGGUGUCCUUGUGUCUUACUGCACUUCCAGCAAUGAAGAAAGCAGGCGCUUCUGUGCAUUCAUUGCACCACACACAAGUCUUAGAGCAACUAAAAUUCCAAAGUGCUUACUACACUCUUCAUCCAUGGCCUCUGGUUCAGUUCCUGCCUCCGGGUUCCUGCCCUGACUUCUUUGGAUGAUGGACUACAGGCCGUAAGCUGAAAUAAACCCUUUCCUUCCAAAA
Long non-coding RNA from Mastomys coucha (southern multimammate mouse), 283 nucleotides. RefSeq lists it as uncharacterized. The transcript is spliced from 2 exons. NCBI's taxonomy places the organism in Eukaryota, Metazoa, Chordata, Mammalia, Rodentia, Muridae. The record is from RefSeq and is a predicted model, not a curated record.